UUGGAAUAUGGACUUCCAGGUAAGCGUAACCUGCGGCAUGCCCCACUGUUUUCCCUCCCUUAUUUUCCAGAUGGUUUAAACAGUGAAACAGAAGAGUGGCUGUUUCCUGGCCUGUGUGAUUGGUUUCCAGAAUUGUUUGCUAACCUUUCAGAUUCAACCUCUGGAUCUUACUGUGAUUAAUUUAGUACCAGAAGAUGACUAGCAGCAGUCUUCUCAGAAAAGAUGUCAAAAAUAAAGAAAUUAGGAGUAUAACAUUUUGGUGACA
Molecule: long non-coding RNA, 265 nt
Filed under: Anas zonorhyncha (Eastern spot-billed duck)
Lineage: Eukaryota; Metazoa; Chordata; Aves; Anseriformes; Anatidae
Description: lncRNA (ENSAZOG00000001456.1)
Source: RNAcentral